GUAGCUUAGUGGUAGGACAUCUGCCUUGCAUGCAGAAGGUCCCUGGUUCAAUCUCCAGCAUCUACU
Non-coding RNA from Podarcis lilfordi (Lilford's wall lizard), 66 nucleotides. The record is from the annotation of a GenBank genome assembly. Lineage: Eukaryota; Metazoa; Chordata; Lepidosauria; Squamata; Lacertidae.